AUUUUGCCCAAUGGACGAAAGUCUGAGGCAGCAACUCCGCGUGAGGGACGAAGGCUCUAGGGUCGUAAACCUCUUUUCUCAGGGAAGAUCCAAGACGGUACCUGAGGAAGAAGCCACGGCUAACUACGUGCCAGCAGCCGCGGUAAUACGUAGGUGGCAAGCGUUGUCCGGAUUUACUGGGCGUAAAGAGCGCGCAGGCGGCUGGUCAAGUCCGAUGUGAAAUCUCCCGGCUCAACUGGGAAACUGCAUCGGAAACUGAUCGGCUUGAAGGUGGGAGAGGGCAGUGGAAUUCCCGGUGUAGUGGUGAAAUGCGUAGAUAUCGGGAGGAACACCAGUGGCGAAGGCGACUGCCUGGCCCAUUCUUGACGCUGAGGCGCGAAAGCUAGGGGAGCGAACGGGA
This 400-nucleotide ribosomal RNA is filed under the name uncultured bacterium. RNAcentral describes it as "bacterial SSU rRNA". It matches the Rfam family "Bacterial small subunit ribosomal RNA", at positions 361 to 777 of the family's 1533-position model. The record is from RNAcentral.